UACUACUUGGAUAACCGUAGUAAUUCUAGAGCUAAUACAUGCAACAAANCCCUUUUGGNCUGCAUUUAUUANAUNGAAACCAAUGCAGGGUUNUCCCUGGCNUNGNGGUGAGUCAUAAUAACUAAGCGAAUCGCAAUGGCUUCGGCCNGCGAUGAAUCAUUCAAGUUUCUANGGGANNUAACCCANNGGCGUNAACGGGGGUAACGAAAAAAUUAAGGGGUUCGAAUUCCCGGAGAAGGAAGCCUUGAAAAGCGGCUUACCCACAUCCCAAAGGAAAGGCAAGCAGGCGCGGUAAAUUACCCAAUCCCUGAUACGGGGAAGGUAAGUGACAAUAAAUAACCAAUACGGGGCCCAUCGGGGUCUUGUAAUUGGAAUGAGUACAAUCUUAAAUCCCUUAACGAGGAUCAAUUGGAGGGCAAGUCUGGUGCCAGCAGCCGCGGUAAUUCCAGCUCCAAUAGCGUAUAUUAAAGUUGUUGCAGUUAAAAAGCUCGUAGUUGGAUUUCUGGUACGAGUGACCGUUCCGAACUUGAUUGUUCGUGUAUUGUGUUUUCUCCAGCCAUCCUUGUGGAGAACUUUUCUUGCAUUAAUUUGUAGGGAUUGGGANCCGCAUCGUUUACUGUGAAAAAAUUAGAGUGUUUAAAGCAGGCAAUCGCUUGAAUACAUUAGCAUGGAAUAAUAAGAUAGGACUUUGGUACUAUUUUGUUGGUUUGCAUACCAAAUUAAUGAUCAACAGGAACAGUUUGAGGAUAUUCGUAUGAACAUGUCAGAGGUGAAAUUCUUGGAUUUUGAUCAGACGAACUACUGCGAAAGCAUUUAUCAAGGAUGUUUUCAUUAAUCAAGAACGAAAGUUAGGGGAGUNAAGAUUAUU
RNAcentral lists this ribosomal RNA (868 nucleotides) under Aplanochytrium sp. M8-6. Its description in RNAcentral is "bacterial SSU rRNA". It matches the Rfam family "Eukaryotic small subunit ribosomal RNA", at positions 133 to 1009 of the family's 1831-position model. The record is from RNAcentral. Lineage: Eukaryota; Bigyra; Thraustochytrida; Thraustochytriidae.